CUACGGGGGGCUCCAGUGGGGAAUAUUGGACAAUGGGGGAACCCUGAUGCAGCAACGCCGCGUGGAGGAUGACGCAUUUCGGUGUGUAAACUCCUUUUAUAUGUCAAGAAAAUGACGGUAGCAUAUGAAUAAGCACCGGCUAACUCCGUGCCAGCAGCCGCGGUAAUACGGAGGGUGCAAGCGUUACUCGGAAUCACUGGGCGUAAAGGACGCGUAGGCGGGUUGGAAAGUCAGGUGUGAAAUCCUACAGCUUAACUGUAGAACUGCACUUGAAACUUCUAAUCUAGAGUAUGGGAGGGGGAGAUGGAAUUAGUGGUGUAGGGGUAAAAUCCGUAGAUAUCACUAGGAAUACCUAAAGCGAAGGCGAUCUCCUGGAACAUUACUGACGCUAAGGCGUGAAAGCGUGGGGAGCAAACAGGAUUAGAUACCCCUGUAGUC
Molecule: ribosomal RNA, 438 nt
Filed under: uncultured bacterium
Lineage: Bacteria
Description: partial 16S ribosomal RNA
Rfam family: Bacterial small subunit ribosomal RNA
Source: RNAcentral